RNAcentral lists this long non-coding RNA (1016 nucleotides) under Gadus morhua (Atlantic cod). RNAcentral's name for it is "lncRNA (ENSGMOG00000026382.1)". The record is from RNAcentral. Lineage: Eukaryota; Metazoa; Chordata; Actinopteri; Gadiformes; Gadidae.
ACAGCAACAAGCUUCGCCAUCGUCUCCGAAGAAAGUUGACGGAAGACAAAAAGCGCCUUCUCCAGGAGAUUGAUAAAUACAACAGUCUUGUUGCAGACCUCUCCAAAAGGAUUGAUGUGGCCUUGGUUGACCACUCUUUGGCUGGACAGAGCACUGGCGCAAUAUGGCCAUGGGAGGACUAUGGCAGUGUAACAAUCGGGGUCAAGAAACGACCAGGAAAUGCUGAAAACACGGCUGGAAGAGGAGCUCCCUAUCCUGGUGUUGGAGAUGGCCCAGCACUGUACGUGGUUGCAGAACCUGGGAGUGGCCCUCAAGACGGAGCUUGCAAGAUACGAAGAUGAAAAUGGACUUCACUGUCUCUUGGCAAGAAGACUUGCGGAAGUGGAAGAACGACAUCAAAUGGUCCUGCAGCGGUAUAAGACUGCUCUAGGUCCAUUGGCCUCUGUCCUCCUUGAUGUUUGUGAGGAAGAGGAAUGUGAUCCGAUGGGCCUGGUCAGUCCAGACACCAGCGAGGAUGAGGAAGAUGCAAGAGAACAAGCAACUUAGUUGAUGGUGUGGUUUCGUGCCUCGCUUGAUGUACACAAAUGAUCAUUGUUAUUGCUAUGUUUAAAAUAAAAAAAUAAAAAAAUCUAUCUCUUCAAUUCAAGAUGGGGUGGGUGAGAAUAAAUAGUGCUAUAACCUCACUAGCCUUAUUGACAUGGACACAUCUGUUCCGCAUAGAUUUCUAUGCACGAGACUUAACGGACACUUUUGUUACUGCCAUGUAUACAGUACAUUCGGAUCACAUUUUAGGAAGAGAUCUAUGACGCAUAGAAAUCUAUGCGGAUCAGAUGUGCCAUGUAAACGCGGAUACUAUGAAUUUCAUUCAUAUAUACAAUUUCAGAAGUGGAUGAGAUUCGAGAAAUAUCUUGUUAUAAUGAGAAAGAAUGUCAAGGUUUGGGGGUUGAUGAAAAACUAUUUUGAACCUUUGUGGUAUGGCAACCCAGUCGCCAAAAGCAUACGUUGACAGUCACUUU